RNAcentral lists this ribosomal RNA (1637 nucleotides) under freshwater metagenome. RNAcentral's name for it is "bacterial LSU rRNA". It matches the Rfam family "Bacterial large subunit ribosomal RNA", at positions 388 to 2040 of the family's 2925-position model. The record is from RNAcentral.
GUGGUGGAACUAGGUAUGCGACAAGUAGGGCGGGACACGUGAAAUCCUGUCUGAAGAUGGGGGGACCAUCCUCCAAGGCUAAAUACUCGUGAUCGACCGAUAGUGAACCAGUACCGUGAGGGAAAGGUGAAAAGAACCCCGGGAGGGGAGUGAAAUAGAAUCUGAAACCGCAUGCAUACAAACAGGGGUGACUGCGUACCUUUUGUAUAAUGGGUCAGCGACUUACAUUCAGUAGCGAGCUUAACUGAGUAAGGUAGGCGUAGCGAAAGCGAGUCUUAAUAGGGCGAAAGUUGCUGGGUGUAGACCCGAAACCAGAUGAUCUACUCAUGGCCAGGAUGAAGCGAAGGUAACACUUCUUGGAGGUCCGAACCCACUAAUGUUGAAAAAUUAGGGGAUGAGCUGUGGGUAGGGGUGAAAGGCUAAACAAAUCUGGAGAUAGCUGGUUCUCUCCGAAAACUAUUUAGGUAGUGCCUCAUAUAUCGUCUUUAGGGGUAGAGCUCUGUUAUGGCUAGGGGAUCGACUAGAUUUACCAAACCAUUGCAAACUUCGAAUACUAAAGAACGUCAGUAUGGGAGACAGACAUUGGGUGCUAACGUCCAGUGUCGAAAGGGAAACAACCCAGACCCUCAGCUAAGGUCCCAAAGAUAUAAUUAAGUGGUAAACGAAGUGGAAAGGCAUAAACAGUCAGGAGAUUGGCUUAGAAGCAGCCAUUCUUUAAAGAAAGCGUAAUAGCUCACUGAUCGAGUCUUUCUGCGCGGAAGAUGUAACGGGGCUAAAUUAUACACCGAAGCUAGGGAUUCAUAUAUUUUGUAUGGAUGGUAGGAGAGCGUUCCGUAGGCCUGUGAAGAUAAUUUGUAAAAAUUGUUGGAGGUAUCGGAAGUGCGAAUGCUGACAUGAGUAGCGAUAAAGGAAGUGAAAAACUUCCUCGCCGAAAACCCAAGGUUUCCUGCGCAACGUUAAUCGGAGCAGGGUGAGUCGGCCCCUAAGGCGAGGCUAAUUGCGUAGCUGAUGGGAAACUGGUUAAAAUUCCAGUACCUUUAUUUAAUGCGAUGUGGGGACGAAGAAGGUUAGCUCAGCCAGGUGUUGGAUGUCCUGGUUAAAGCGUGUAGAUGUGCUAUUUAGGUAAAUCCGGAUAGAUAAAUUGAGGCGUGAUAACGAAGCACAGUUAUCUGUGUUAAGUGAGUAAUACCAAGCUUCCAAGAAAAGCCACUAAGCUUCAGUUAAAUAAAGACCGUACCGUAAACCGACACAGGUGGGUAGGAUGAGAAUUCUAAGGCGCUUGAGAGAACUCAGGAGAAGGAACUCGGCAAAUUGACACCGUAACUUCGGGAGAAGGUGUACCUUUAGUAAGUGAAUAACUUCGCGUUAAUAGCUGAAUAAGGUUGCAAAAAAUAGGUGGCUGCGACUGUUUAAUAAAAACACAGCACUCUGCAAACACGUAAGUGGACGUAUAGAGUGUGACGCCUGCCCGGUGCCGGAAGGUUAAAUGAUGAAGUGCAAGCUUUUGAUUGAAGCCCCGGUAAACGGCGGCCGUAACUAUAACGGUCCUAAGGUAGCGAAAUUCCUUGUCGGGUAAGUUCCGACCUGCACGAAUGGCGUAACGAUGGCCACACUGUCUCCUCCUGAGACUCAGCGAA